UCUCCUGUCACUGGCCUUCUCCAUAAGGGCAGGCAGCUGCGACCUCUGCAGAGCUCACUCAGGAGUGGGACAGACCACCACCAGGAACUUGAUCUAAGUCACCCAGCACGGAUGGGUACUUCCAGAGCCACUAUUUGGGGUGGGAGCUCCCAUUGGGCUGGAAACUGUACCCAUUUUCCAGAUAAUGCCAGGAGGUGCUUCAUCUGAGCUUGGCUUCCAGAACAGGCUUAAGAGCUACACUGCCAAACACUGGGCUCACUGCUGAGGAGCGUCACCCCUCUUUUUUUUUUCCUAUUCAAACAUUUUAAUUUUUUUUUAAAGAGUAAUAUGGGCUAACUGACUCAAUGGACAUGACUCUGAGCAACUCCAGGAGAGAGUGAAGGACAGGGAAGCCCGGUGUGCUGGAGUCCGUGGGGUCACAAAGGGUUGGACAUGAUUUAGCAACUGAACAACAACUAUGACAACACGGACUAAUUGGAGAAACACUAUGGGCUGGCUUCUGUCGCCGAGCAGUGUGACCUCAGGGUUCAUCCACGUUGCAGCAGCUGUCAGAAUAUCCUUCCUCUUAAGGCUGAAUACCAUUGCCUUGAAUGAAUGAACCACACUCUCCUUGGACUGCAUGCCAGUCAUCCAUCCAUGGACACAAGGGGCCUCUGCACUUGGCAACUGCUCUAACUUAGAAGUCAGGAGAGACACCCCCUUCCAACCUGAGCUGGUGAACGUCUCCAGCCAGGAACCGGAGUAGAGACCUGACCCUCCGCACUCUCCAGAGGUCCCUGGCACCUGUCAGGUGCGGCAUGGGACAUCAGCAAAGAAUGCAGAGGAGAAGAGGAGAGACGGGUGAUCAGGAGCUUGCGGGGUGCCCUGCUCCCUGGGAUAACCUGGAUGGCUCUCCAGCGUUUAAAACAUCCAUCCUGUCGGUUAGAAGGCUGCCCGAUUUUAUGGUUCCCUUUAAGCAGAGGGUUGGACAUGACUGAGAGACUUCACUUUCACUUUUCAC
Molecule: long non-coding RNA, 1000 nt
Organism: Capra hircus (goat)
Lineage: Eukaryota; Metazoa; Chordata; Mammalia; Artiodactyla; Bovidae
Exons: 3
Source: RefSeq, a predicted model, not a curated record